GAGCUUCUCAUGAGCUUCUUUAACUGUCUUCCCAUCUUUUUUCUUCCUCCAGUUAUGCCCAUCUUUUCUGAAGUAUCUCAGCACCUUGCGGUCAAAAAGGAAAAGUGAACCACUCGAUGGCAUAUGUUGAGGUUCCGGAGCAAUUCGGAAUUUCUUAUAAUUUCGAAGAAUUUCACAAAUUUCCGCAGGUCGUAGCCAUCUAUGCUUUGCUUCUACGAGAAUUUGUUGAAUAUCUAGCUGGUUACCAAGAGGGUAGCCCCUAGCCUCUGCCAUGAACUCCUCCUCCUCGUCUUCUUCCUCUUCACUGUAUCCGUCUCGGUGAGUGAGGGAUUUGAGAUAUUUUGCGACAGUUUUGGAAGGGCAGUGAGUCAGAGAGAGCAGCUCAACUAGAAUUUUAGACAAGGGGAAGAUAGCGGAUUUUGUCAAGAAGCGAGAUUUUGUCAAGAAACGAG
RNAcentral lists this unclassified non-coding RNA (452 nucleotides) under Hevea brasiliensis (rubber tree). The record is from RNAcentral. Lineage: Eukaryota; Viridiplantae; Streptophyta; Magnoliopsida; Malpighiales; Euphorbiaceae.